RNAcentral lists this ribosomal RNA (253 nucleotides) under uncultured bacterium. Its description in RNAcentral is "partial 16S ribosomal RNA". It matches the Rfam family "Bacterial small subunit ribosomal RNA", at positions 524 to 776 of the family's 1533-position model. The record is from RNAcentral.
UACGUAGGGGGCAAGCGUUGUUCGGAAUUACUGGGCGUGAAGGGCGCGUAGGCGGCACGGCAAGUCAGGAGUGAAAGCCCAGGGCUCAACCCUGGGAUGCCGGUGGAUACUGUCGGACUAGAGUACGGAAGAGGCGAGUGGAAUUCCCGGUGUAGCGGUGAAAUGCGCAGAUAUCAGGAGGAACACCGGUGGCGAAGGCGGCUUGCUGGGCCAGUUCUGACGCUGAGGAGCGAAAGCGUGGGGAGCGAACAGG